This is a long non-coding RNA of Alligator mississippiensis (American alligator), 7645 nucleotides long. RefSeq lists it as uncharacterized. The record is from RefSeq and is a predicted model, not a curated record. The transcript is spliced from 4 exons. Lineage: Eukaryota; Metazoa; Chordata; Crocodylia; Alligatoridae.
UACAAGGAGUGGCUUUGAAGAAGCUGUUUCCUCUAGAUUGAUAAUCACCUGGGGUAACUGCUUUGGAAGAAGCUAGGUAGAAGAUCCUGAAAGAAAGAGGUGAGCUUUCUGUAGACAAAUGAAGCCUGGAGAUCAAUGAGGGGAGGCUAGAAAAUGAGGGAGUCUUCAUCCCCUGGGGGCUGAUAACGCAGUAUUUCAAGAGAGACUAGGACUCCUGGAACUGGAUUCUGAGAAAUAGACCCACAAGGACUGAAGGAAGAAAUUUGCCUCUAUUGAUUGCAGUCAGGUGAGGACCUCAGCCAGAAAACUUGUCUGGGACUGCUUGGGUUUUUAGUCAGGGAGGUAUGCAACAGAGUGGCCUGCUGCUUUAAGGACUGGGUGUCCUGCAGCUGAGGGCCCUAUUCAAUUAGUCCUGCCUGCUACAUGUGUAGGGUGUUAGGCUUAUGAGGGAAAUAGUUUCCCCCCUCCAAUGAUGGGCUGAGGAGAAAAGGUGAGUAAGCUGAGAGUAUUGAGGAAUUAGCUGUAGGCUGUCAUCUGUCUGAAGACCUGAUCUGGGUAGUGUUCCCCACCCUAAUGCUCGGGAGAAUGGAGUAGCUGGGGAGGAGUUGAUGAUUUUACCAACCCCCUGUCCCGUGCAAAAACAGGGGAGUCUGAUUGGGUUCAGGCUUCUCUUGCAUUGUCAUACUUGGGAGUUUCCUGUGCACCUGAGGAAAGCUUUGAGCGAAGCGAGCUUCGAGAAGAGCUGACCUGGAGAAGCAGCCAGGAAUGGACAAAGAGCUGUCUCUGGCUGCUUGGUCCCUGGGCUGGAGCUCCAGGGAAUGGGCAAGCUUAGGUUGCCCUACCACCCUUUGGUGUAGGGACCACCAAGAUAGGUGAGAGUGCAAGUGUGAUGCUGCUGGAGAACAAAGUCUCAAAUCAUUCCAGAGGAGCUCUGAGGAAAAGCAAAGGAUUGGGCAGCUGCAGCAGUAGGGCUCUCCUUGGAGGAGUUGUACCAGAAGGAAUGAAGCAGAUGGAAAAGGACAAAGAAAAAAAGACAAAAAACUUCAGACAUUCACUCUGACAAAAAACUGGACACCACAUAGCAGAGCCGGUACCCAGUACCUACUUGUUACAAGGACAUAUGAAAAGGCCACAGCAUUUCCCUAAAUCUUUUAAAUUUUUCUCGGCCUCCUUCAUGUCUUGGUUGAUAUGGUUCAUGCCUUCUUCAACACGAUCGAGUUGUUCUGGUCAGGACAAAGGGAUGACAGUGUGGAAUGAAUUGUAUUUUUGUUUGUUUGUGUUCAAAGAACAUGAAAAAUGAUCAUGUAAAACUGAAUUAAUAAUGAUCUUGCAAUGCAUUGAUUUGAGCUGAUGCAUUGCUGCUGGGAUGUGUGCCAGACUCUAGAUAGUGGAGAAAGAUGUCCUUUGCUAAUAUGAAUAGAGAGAGAGGAAAAAAAGUGAUGUUUGAAAUAUAUCAAUUUAAACAGGAUGUGAUGAUGUAGAAGGAAGUUUUAAACGUCAAGGUCCAGAAACAUAAUACAAUACAUCCACUUACUAAGACACCAGUGAUAUCCAAGAGAAAGAAAGAGAUACGGUUAUUAUCUUUCAUUUAUUCACAUUCACAUAACAGAGGGUCUCUGUCAAUGGAAAAUGCCUGAAUUACUCAUACUUAAAAAUGUAUUUGAAAUAGAUGGUGAUUGACAGUGUAACUAUUUCGAUUUGUGGGUGAUAGGGUGAGAGAAGAGACAGUAAUGGCAUUAGGGGUGGUAUGAGUUGUUAAGAUCCAUGUCCAGCUACAUAUUCUGAGCGUACUGAGGUCUGAUGUUUUUUAGUUCCUGUCCAAACCAAAAGUCAGGGAAUCUGUUGCAAAUCACCAGUAGCCCCAAUGAAUGCAGUGGAGAUGCAACAACCUAGGGAUCUACUCCAAGGCCCAGUGACAUUAAUGGAAAGAUUCCCAUGUCUUUGGUAGGCUUUGUAUCAGUCCCUCAGUGAGGUAAACGUAAAAAUGCUACACCAGCAUAACUCCUUAUACUUUACUGGAAUUGCUUCUGGUUUGCACCAAACCAUGGGAGUGAAGCACCUGGCGUAAAAACAGGCUUUGUACAGACGCUGUACUCAUCCAUUAAUACCAGUGGACUUGUGCUUGCUGACACUAGUGCUGACCUUCGUGGACUUUGUAGCUGCCGGUAAUUUAAUAUAUUGAUUUCUCCACGGAAGAUAAAGCUGAGAAAAACAGUACGGUGCAGCAGCCAGUUCCUUAGUUGUUGUAAAUAAGCAUAGGACCAAAAAGAUCCUGGCUUUUAACAUGAACUUCAUCAUUUUAUACCAGCUGGGGAUCUGGCCAGUAAUUUCAUUUAAAUAUGGAGUGCAGGAAGGAUUCUCGAAUGGAGCAAAAAUUCCUUUCGGUGAUGAUCUAACCUGUCAAGAAAAGCCGAUCCAAAAUAUAUGUAGCUAGGAACUGAUUAGCUAGAGUUUAAAAUGAUGAAAUUCACAUUUCCUGCAUUAGAUACAGGGGAAAAAAUGUAUGUACAUACCUAAGAAUUAGAACUGAGAGGAAAAGGACUUGAGAAUGCAGGGAUAUAACAUAGUUGCUGAAGUUAAAUGGGAUUCAUCAAGAUAAAACACAGUGUAUUUUAGAAACAACACUUGGGUUUGAGAUUUUCAAAGGUCAUCAAGGGAGUUGGAUUAUUAUUGAAUUUGCCAUUCAAUGAUUUGUCAUUCAAUGCUAUGUUGUUCAUUUUAAUUUUUCCAUCCAGCUUUGCCUUGAAAGUGAAAAUUAGUCAGUGGCCAGUCAGUGUCACUAACUGUAUGUUGUAAUUUUUUUGGUUCCCAUCCCCCUGGCUUGAUGGUCUUGUGUUAGAGUGUCCAAGGAUAACUAGAUUAUUUACAUAAAUCUGGAUAAAAAAUGUACAUUUUCAGAGCUAAAUUUACACAAAAUAUUCCUUAAAAAGAUAACACAUUCCACAGUUGGGAAAUUAUUCUGGUUUAAAGUUCAUGGUUCAGUUUAAAAAUUCCAGUGCAGAAUUUUUAGUUUUACUGGAAAUGAGAAAGUUGGACUUGCAAAAUCUAAACUGAGUUUUCAGAGAUAUCUGUUAGAAGAAUCUGGUUUUCACUUGUACGUUUUGAUGAGGAAAUGAGAGAGGGACAACACACCUUUGUGGUGUCAUUUUUAAAGUUACUAUUUUUUGGUUGUUGAAGAUAACUGAGUAUAUUUUCCUGAUGCUGUAACAUUGGUGGGAGACAGCGAGGCUUCAUCACAGAUUGUGUAUUAAUGACAAACUUGGGGUCUAAUCCUUCCUUCCUUACUCAGGCAAAAAUCUUCUGAAGCCAAAAGCAGAUGGGGGUGUUGAAAUGUCACUCCCAAUAGAGUCCUUUGGGCAUUACUGGGAACAAUAAUGCCCAGAUUCUGCAAGGGUUAAUUGAUGUGUGUAAUUUACUUAGCACAAGAACUUCUCUUCUCACCACAGCUGUCUUCAAAAUUUACUAUGUUUCAGUAUUCUGAAGUGUGAUGCUUUUGUGGUUUCAUUACAGCUUAUGCUAUUUCUGAAGAGGAAAGGGACCACAAGCAAUCUAUCUUCCAUUAAGAAAAGCCUCAUCAAUCGAAAAAGCCUAUGUCACAGAAGUAGCCUAGAAGUCUAGACAUCCGGCUGCUCCUUCUAAAACUGCUUGUUUAACAUAAAACUGAGGGGCCAGAUCCCUGGCUGGUUCAAACUGGCAUAGUUCCCUUGGCUUCAAUGGAGCAAUACCAGUUUACACCAGCUGAACAUCUGAUCCUGUAAGGCAAGAUAAACAGACAGAUUCCAGAUUCUAACUUUCAUGACAGUGGUAUAAAUGUGGAAUAACCUCAUGAACCUCACUGGGUCACUCUAGACAUAUAUUGAUAUAAGUGAGAUCAGAAUAGGAUGUAGGAUGUUUUAUUAAUGGUACAGAAACAGCUAAUAAAGGUUAAUUUCACAUGCAUUUUAACUGACUUUCUCUAAUCUAACAUUUUGCCGGUUUUAUUAAAUCACUUGGGAGCAGAUGCUGUGCUGGUAUAGACUGCCAUGUAUCUAUGACAUUUGACAUCACCUAAGAAUCUACCCCUUUAUCUGUUACUUGGUGAAAUGUUUCAUGAUAAGCUUUCAAACAGUUUUCAUUUGUUUGCUGCUGCCUCCUUUAAAUGUGUGUCAUUGUAAGAUAGGCAGCUUGGACCCUUUCACUCUGUAGGUAGAGUUUGCAUGUCAGGUAUGUGUUUUGUCAGAAUUUAUUUUGCUCUUCUCCAAGAUUCUCUGUUAAUAAUCAGUUCUUUGCCUUUCUAUACCAUUUCCUGUCCAAGGAGAUUCAAAUAGUGGCCAUGAAUCUGCUGUAGAUUUUUUUAUGUAACAGUUUAUUCCAGUAGACCAGCAGAGAAUGUGGACUAUUUGUCUGAUGCUAUCAGGUCAUCCACUUGUGGUGAGCACUUACCUCACCAGCAUAUGGACCAAAAGGACUCUCAACUCUGCAAGACAUGGGUCCAAGAUUAUCUGUUGGUCUAUCUCCAUCUCUGAGACAGAACAGUGGUAUAUCCAUAGAACUCAAUGCUUUCUGCACAGUGAGCAUAGAUUACCCAUUAUGCAUUCUGUAGGGGACUUCAGAGAAGGGGCCGGGAGGAGAAACCUCUAUGUUCCUAUGUUCUCUUGGAGGAUACUGGAGGGGGUAGGGAAACUUUUUUUCAUUUGUUUUUGCUCUGUUUGUUUCUAUUUCCUUUUUGUUUCCUUCCAGAGUUAGUGGAGAAGUUAAAUCAAAAAGGAUGUUUCCAUAACACAUGCAAAAAAGGAGACAUUGGGUUAGUUCAAUUACCAUUGCAAAUUAAUUCUGCUACUGAGUCCCUUUGACAGAGAAUGAUCUGCUUAAAACUCUUCCAGGAUUUUUCUUAUAUUGUCCUCAUAGAUUUUGAAGCCAGAUGGGACCAAACUGCAUUGUCCUGAAAGAGAGCAGCUGAUUGCAAAUAGAGAUGUACUGACCUGCAUGACAGGGUCCUGACUAGUGGGUGGUUUUGAACAUUGGACCAUAAAGGCUGGUCUUGGUAACAGAAAUGGAUUGAGAGCCAGUGGUGGUAUGGAGGUUAGAGAGACGCAUGCCUCUCAUUGAAGAGGGAUGAUGCUACUUCCUAUAAAGCUGGAGCCCUUUUGGGUUGUGUCCACAUUCAGCCUAAACUACAGAAAAUUACCAUAACCAAGUUUGAAGGUGAUGAACCUGAGAAGUGUUAUAGCCAGAGCUCCUCUGACAAAAAUGGGGUUCAAGCUCCUAGUGUGCAGAAGAGAAAGUAUUUCAACACUGGCAAUGCCUGGUCAUACAGAGUCAUACAGAGUCUAACAGGUGUCCAAGGCUUCACAUCACUGUGACGAAUGUGGUACAGGCCAGAAUUAAGCCACUGUCAAGACCAGUUCUACAAACCACUUCCUCUCCUGGGCAGCACAGCUGCAUCCUGCCAAGGGCUUCCUCUGAGAUGACUAUCCUGUAGUCAUUGUUGACAUCUCUUUGAUGGUGUUGGCUUCUUUUGUGGAAAUGAGAUGUGCAUCUGGAUAUUACUGGAGUCCUGCUGAUGAGAGCUCCUGACAUCUCACUCCAUCAAGUGGUCUCAUGCAAGCACUGAAUGGAAGAAGAGUUGGGAUGGACAAAGGAGAUCCCAAUGCAGCUUGUCAGUAUAGUAUACCAUACCAUUACUUGGUGGAAAACAUCCUGAAGGAUAGCAGGACUGAAACAGCCCCACCUGCAAAUAAUUCCCAGACAUGAUGCCUGUAGAUGAGAGAGGACAUUUCCCUCCCCAGUGGCGAUGAGGCACAGAAGCUUUCAGCUCUUUACCAUCCCUAUGGGCUGAUGGGGAAAGCCAAAUCCAAUUUCUUGGCCUCACCACCUACUUUAAGCUUAAGCUGUGAGGACUCUUCUCAGAGGAGUCAAUCAAGCAAGACUACAGCAGAAUAUUGACACCUUGGUAAUAAAUAAUGGUUACUGGCAAGGGGUCUCCUCUAAGUGCUCAGGAAGUAGCUGCACUGCUUCAUCAACAUCUAUUUACUUAAUAGCAUGAUGCCCCUGUAUUGCAGACAAGGAUGGCUGUCUCCAUUUGGCGAACACGUUGGAAGAUUCAGUUACAAGCUCAAGGAUGUGCUGGAACUCUAGGAAUGCCAGGGAACCAGAACCCAGUUCCACGUCUCUUAUUUUUGUGUUUUUGCCAAAAGUAUCCUUCCUCCAUAAAGCUAACACAGAACUCGGUCUUCCAGCAUUAAAUAUCCUGAGCCAAAUAUUCCAUGCAUACUGCUUCUCUUGUAACAGCCAGCUCCUGCUUCUGUCUGGAAACUGGGGUGGAUGUCUGUGCUGCCUACCAGGCUGUUGGCUGCCCAGUCCACACACUCCCUGUGCUGAAUGCCCUGAGGCAGUCUGGCAGCGUGUGCAGCGCAUUGGCUCAGCUGCGCGACUGAGUUUCUAACACACUCGGGGACUGCUCAGCUGUCAGAGCCUGUCCUGCUCCUCUCUGUGCUCAGGCCAGUUGCAAGCAAUGUGAGUGCCUACACUCCUGUUUCUGGCCCACCCUGCCUACUGAACUGUACCCAGCAGAUGGCUGGUUUAAAAAAAAAUGUCCACCUGCUUCUCUCACCUCCCUUUCAGUGAAUUCAAAAGGAGAGUGAGGGUGGAGAAAGGAGAAGCCAGCCACAUUCUUCUUCCCCAGGCUCCCCUGAGCCCUACAGCUGUUCAUUUCUGGUCCUUUGGCAGGCAGCAUCUGAUUGCUCAGAGGGGUACUCUGGCUUCUCCUCCCUCCUUCCUUGACCUCUGGCUCAUUGACGCAGUCUGUACUCUUAGACAUAGUUCCCUUCCAAAUGCAGGCCCCUGAGGACCUGCAAUUCUGUUUGUGAUCUGACAAGUAUUGUCAGUUUUCAUCAAACCUGUUAGGCUUAGAAUAAGCCAGAUACAGUUAAAUACCAAAUACAGACAUCAGUGUCUGACCCUAUGGUCUUUGCUCAGGUACAACCUCCAUUCAUAGAGCUUUGCUGGGAGGAAGACUGCACCACUGACCCAUAGACUUUACAAAUGGUGCUAAAUCCUUUUGUGCAAAUCUUUGCACUGAGCAACAUGGGUGCAGCUGUCUUCUACCUACCUGGCCAGGUAUGCUGUUGUGCUUUAUCAAGCCAUACUGUAUUUGUUAUCAAGGAAGGUUGGUGUAUGUGCCCACAGUGAUAAUACAUUGGCAAAACUCCAAAAAUUUAAUUGACAGUGGAGUGAAUAGAUAUAUUCUGCAAAAAGCCUGCUGAAGCUCAUAUCAAGAAGUCUGCUGAUGUGAACAGUAGUUGGAUCUGGCACCAAGUGAUAAUCUUUCUCUUUUUUAAUAUUCUUUGAUUUUUUUUUUUCCUAGCUACUUUCACUGAAAUUUGGGCUAAGGCCAGAUUUUCAAAAGAUUCUUGCUCCCAUUUAGGCACCUAAAAUGAUGCAGACUUUCACACAUGCUCAGGACCCAGGAGCUCCUAUUAUGGCCUUGGGAAAGAGCAGGAUUUGCCACAUGAACAGAAUGUAUUCUCAGCAAGUAGGCUGAAAUUCACUGAUGUGGUUGUAAAACUGUGGUGAGGCCAGGAAAUGACCUUUAAUGUGUAGCUUCUGCCAUGGAUGUAUUUACAAAGAUGUAGGAUCUGCAAUCCACUGUCUCUUAUGAAAUUGA